Peromyscus maniculatus bairdii (prairie deer mouse) is the source of this 2625-nucleotide non-coding RNA. NCBI's taxonomy places the organism in Eukaryota, Metazoa, Chordata, Mammalia, Rodentia, Cricetidae. The record is from RefSeq and is a predicted model, not a curated record.
UCCCUGGGGCACCCUCGCACCUUCUCUGACUCCACGGGUAAUUGGGAGGAAGUUCCGGAGAGCCGCUGCGCGCAAACGCGACACGCCAACCUUGCGCCAGCGCGCCGCAAGUGCGCAGGCGCCGCCGCUCUGCUGCUCUUCCUCGUCCCUCUGCCUACAGCAGGCUGUCGGGUCCUAUGUCGCGCCGGGCCCUCCGGAGGCUGAGGGGGGAACAGCGCGGCCAGGAACCCCUAGGGCCCGACGCCUUGCAGUUUGCCCUCCUUGAUGACGAUGACGCGGAGGAAGAGGGACCAAAACAAGGGUUGGGUGGCCGGCGCCCCGGGGGCGCAGGGAAGGAAGGCGUCCGUGUCAACAACCGGUUCGAGCUGAUAAACAUCGAGGAUCUUGAGGAUGACCUUGUGGUAAAUGGGGAGAAGUCUGACUGUACCCUGCCGGACUCUGUGUCAUCAGGGAACAAAGGAAGGGCUCAGCGUGGAAACUCAGAGACGAAGCAAGAUGGGGAUGUGGCCAAGGCAGGGUUCCCAGAACAGUCUAAUGCGAGUGGCAAACUCCGAAAGAAGAAAAAGAAGCAGAAAAAUAAGAAAAGCUGCACAGGAGAAUCCUCGGAAAAUGGGCUAGAAGAUAUUGAUCGCAUCUUAGAGAGGAUUGAAGACAGCAGUGGGGUCAUCCACCCAGGCCCCCCUCCACUGAAUUCCAGGAAGCAUGUCCUCUAUGUGGAGCACAGACACUUGAAUCCAGAUACAGAACUGAAAAGGUAUUUUGGUGCUCGAGCAGUCCUGGGAGAACAAAGGCCUCGACAAAGACAGCGUGUAUAUCCCAAGUGUACAUGGCUGACAACCCCUAAAAGCACUUGGCCCCGAUACAGCAAACCAGGUCUGUCAAUGCGGCUGCUGGAAUCCAAGAAAGGCCUUUCUUUCUUUGCAUUUGAGCACAAUGAGGAGUACCAGCAAGCACAGCACAAGUUCCUGGUGGCUGUGGAGUCCAUGGAGCCAAACAACAUUGUGGUUCUGCUCCAGACAAGUCCCUAUCAUGUUGACUCACUUCUGCAGCUCAGUGACGCCUGCCGCUUUCAGGAGGAUCAAGAGAUGGCUCGAGACCUUAUAGAGAGAGCACUGUACAGCAUGGAGUGUGCAUUCCAUCCCUUGUUCAGUCUCACCAGUGGGACUUGCCGGCUGGAUUACCGCAGACCUGAGAACAGGAGCUUCUACCUGGCCCUCUACAAGCAGAUGAGUUUCUUGGAGAAGCGAGGAUGCCCACGUACUGCACUGGAGUACUGCAAGCUCAUCCUGAGCCUGGAGCCCGAUGAGGACCCCCUGUGCAUGCUGCUGCUUAUUGACCACUUGGCCUUACGGGCCCGGAACUAUGAGUACCUGAUCCGCCUCUUCCAGGAGUGGGAGGCUCAUCGGAACCUAUCCCAGCUCCCAAAUUUUGCCUUCUCAGUUCCACUGGCAUAUUUCCUUCUGAGUCAGCAAACAGACCUACCUGAGCAUGAGCUCGCCUCUGCCAGGCAGCAGGCUUCCCUCCUGAUACAGCAGGCGCUCACUAUGUUCCCUGGAGCUCUUAUGCCAUUGCUGGAGUAUUGUAGUGUGCGGCCUGAUGCAACAGUUUCAGAUCACCGCUUUUUUGGGCCAGAUGCUGAGAUAAGCCAGCCCCCCGCCCUGAGCCAGCUGGUGAGCCUGUACCUUGGGAGGUCACACUUUCUUUGGAAAGAACCCGCCAUUAUGAGCUGGCUGGAGGAAAACGUCCGUGAGGUUCUGCAAGCAGUGGAUGCUGGGGACCCUGCUGUGGAGGCCUGUGAGAAUAGGCGGAAGGUGCUGUACCAGCGUGCACCCAGAAACAUCCACCGCCAUGUGAUACUCUCUGAGAUCAAGGAGGCUGUUGCUGCCCUCCCCUCGGAUGUGACCACACAGUCUGUGAUGGGGUUUGAUCCUCUGCCUCCCCUGGACACCAUCUACUCUUACGUCCGACCAGAAAGGCUGAGUCCAGUCAGCCAUGGCAACACAAUCGCCCUCUUCUUCCGAUCAUUAUUGCCAAAUUACACCACAGAGGGGGAGAGGCUGGAGGAAGGAGUGGCCGGGGGUCCGAACCGCAAUCAAGGCUUGAACAGGCUGAUGUUGGCCGUACGUGACAUGAUGGCCAACUUCCACUUCAACGACCUGGAGGUGCCUCGGGAGGACAAUCCUGAGGGCGAGGGGGACUGGGACUGACUGUCCAGAUGCUGUGCCCAGAGCUGUGCAAUUAUGUUCCUGAUUCUUUCCUGGUUGGGAUUAACCAGUUCCCUGAAGUAGAAAUGCUGACCAUGUCAUCCACCCGUGUCUUUUGUUUUCCCUCUAAAUGUUCCAGGUUGGAGUGGCCUGUGCUGUAAGUCCAUCCAGAUGAGGCUGUGAUAUCUGGAGCUGCAGCAGCUAUUCUACAACCGCGAGGCAAUGAACUCCAAAAUGAAGAGCCAGUGUACUAGGAACAGUGACGCAGAGGAUGCCCUAGGCCUUCGGGGGACUUCCCACCUCCAGGCCUGUAUCCUGAGAGGCCAUUAAAUGAUUGGCUUCAGAAGUGUUGCUCAGACUUAAGUAAUUUUCAACUGAAUACAUUUCUAAUGGUGAUAAAUAAAAACCAGUCACUCACUCA